RNAcentral lists this long non-coding RNA (466 nucleotides) under Salmo salar (Atlantic salmon). Its description in RNAcentral is "lncRNA (ENSSSAG00000097857.1)". The record is from RNAcentral. Lineage: Eukaryota; Metazoa; Chordata; Actinopteri; Salmoniformes; Salmonidae.
UGUCGAUCUCGUCGCUGUACCUCCCUCGCUGCUUCCACCUCUUCCCAUGGGAGGCAAUCCCUUCCGGCCUGGAUCUACUCCCACGUCCAGGAUCCUUUGCCAUCCAGGAUGUCCUCCCAUGUCCAGUUCAUCGGCCCACACUGCUUGGUCCUUUGGUGGUGGGCUCUUCUGUCACGAUCGUCAAAAGGAGUAGACCAAGGUGCAGCGUGCAUUGAUGUUUUUCUGUAGCACCCGGGAUGAAUGUGACUGACUCGGGAAGUCCAUACAAAGGAUCCGGGUCAGGGAAGUCAAACAUUUCUGGUGACACAGACACCAAUCCCUGCCGUGACAGAAGGAGCAGCAUUUCUUGCUGCCACAAAUCAAAGUGAAGAAGGGAAGAGAAACAAUAAGCAACAAUAAGCCCACUGGUUUGAGCUGAUGGAGCUGUUUAGAUAAAGACAGACAACAGCAGCCUGUAAAGAGACCC